AUGUGCUGUGAGAACUGCAAACAGGGCAAAUUCUUUACUUUGUCCUGCCUACGGCCCAAAUCACACAGAUUAAAUAUCAGGCUUAAUGAAGCAAAUCAUGGAAAUCUCAUAAAUAUGAGAACUGAUUCAACUGAGCAGAAAACAAGAAAAAUUAAAUGUGGGUUGUUGAACAUUAGAUCCAUUUUUUCUAAGACUUUGUUAGUUAAUGACUUGAUUUGUGAUAAUCAGAUCUCUUUGCUCACUCUCACAGAAUCCUGGCUGCAGCAAGAGGACUAUGUUAGCUUAAACGAGUCUACUCCUUCAAAUUAUUUAUAUCACCAUAUUGCUCGAAGUACAGGGCAAGGAGGAGGAGUGGCAACCAUUUUUCAUUCGGACUUAUUAAUCAAUCCCUUACCAAUUAAUAGCUACAGUUCGUUCGAACAUCUUAUUCUUAAUUUUCCUAAACCAGAUUGCAAAACUGUAAAACCACUCUUGUUUGUAGUUUUAUAUCGUCCACCAGGCCCUUACUCUGAGUUUUUGGAUCAGAUCUCUGAUUUUUUAUCAGAUUUGGUGCUAAAUACUGAUAAGGUCAUUGUAGUGGGGGAUUUUAACAUUCAUGUGGACAUUGAAAAUGAUAGCCUCAAUGUAGCCUUUAGUAAUAUCUUAGACUCAAUUGGUUUUACUCAAAGAAUACAUAGCUCCACCCACUCGUGCCAUCAUACAUUGGACCUUGUGCUGACUUAUGGCAUAGAGUGUGAGGAAAUAACAAUCUUUUCACAUAAUCCAGUCCUCUCGGACCACUUUCUGAUAACCUUUGAGUUUUUUAUAACUGAGUUUUCGAGACAUGAAAGUAAAUUUCACUAUAUUCGGUCUCUAUCUGACAACGCAGUUGCAUCUUUUAAAUCAACUGUUCCAUCUUUCCUGUCCUCAGCAUCUCAGAGGCAUGUAGCAGAGGGCAAUAUUUUCAGUUCUAUCCCCUCACAAAUUGAUGCCUUAGUUCAUAUUGUUACUUCCUCUUUACGUGUGGCAUUAGAUGAUGUUGCCCCUUUAAAAAAGAAGGUAAUUAGGGAUUGGAAGUUGGCUCCCUGGUUUAAUUCUCAUUUACGAGCCUUAAAACAAAACUCUAGAAAAUUGGAGAGAACAUGGCGCUCUACGCACCAUGAGGAGGCCUACCUAUUCUGGAAAAAUAGUCUUGUGCUUUAUAAAAAUAAGCUUCGACAAACUAGAACUGCUUAUUUCUCAGCGUUAAUUGAGGAGAAUAAGAAUAAUCCUAAAUUUCUUUUCAGUACAGUUGACAAACUUACACAGAAUCAUAUCUCUGAGCCAUUUAUUCCCUUAGCCCUCAGCAGCAAUGACUUCAUGGGAUUUUUUACAAGUAAAAUUAAUUCUAUUAGAAACAAAAUCUUUAGCAUCCUCCCUAAUGCGAUUUCUUCUUCCUCAGUAAGUGAGGCAGCAUCAGAGGUAACUGCAGAACCUCAUCUGUGUUUGAACCGUUUUGAUCCAGUUAGCUUUCAGGGUUAUCAAAAAUAUUAG
Molecule: long non-coding RNA, 1512 nt
Filed under: Nothobranchius furzeri (turquoise killifish)
Lineage: Eukaryota; Metazoa; Chordata; Actinopteri; Cyprinodontiformes; Nothobranchiidae
Description: lncRNA (ENSNFUG00015022224.1)
Source: RNAcentral